GUGUUGGUCAUGGAUGGGCUUCAAGAUAUAGCGAGGAUAAUGAAUCUGUUGAGAGGAGUCCUGAGGUGGCCAAGCAUGUGAUUUUUUAAGUGGGUCGAGUGGUUAUUUUUCUUAUCUCACUUAUGAAGGUAAUGACGAGUUAGCUUCUGAAGUUGGAGACUUUACUUGAUGAUAGCGUGGGGAAAAAUGUCGAGUUGGAAUUUGAAAGGAGUGGCACGUCUUUGACCGUUCAGUUGGUGGCUGAAGACUUACACUCAAUAACUCUUUCGGAGUUAGGAGUGGCACGUCUUUGUGAUGUACAUU
RNAcentral lists this long non-coding RNA (303 nucleotides) under Helianthus annuus (common sunflower). Its description in RNAcentral is "sRNA HanXRQr2_Chr11g0480251". The record is from RNAcentral. Lineage: Eukaryota; Viridiplantae; Streptophyta; Magnoliopsida; Asterales; Asteraceae.